Molecule: ribosomal RNA, 201 nt
Filed under: uncultured bacterium
Lineage: Bacteria
Description: partial 16S ribosomal RNA
Rfam family: Bacterial small subunit ribosomal RNA
Source: RNAcentral
ACGCUCGACACCUACGGGAGGCAGCAGUGGGGAAUAUUGGGCAAUGGGCGCAAGCCUGACCCAGCAACGCCGCGUGAAGGAUGAAGGCUUUCGGGUUGUAAACUUCUUUUAUCAGGGACGAAACAAAUGACGGUACCUGAUGAAUAAGCCACGGCUAACUACGUGCCCGCAGCCGCGGUAAUCUGAGCGGGCUGGCAAGGC